UUUCCACUAAGGAGAAGGUGACUCUGUCUCUUUACAGACAUUCAGGAGUUUGGGGCUGUUGUCUACGUUACAGUGAAGAUCCUGCUAAUUGUAAUGCUCUACAGUACAACCGCCAUCUUUGAAUGCUGGAUUAGAUCAAGAUUCUCCAACAAACCAGAGAAGGACAUAGAAGAAGCAGAUUAUGUCAGCAGGGUGGUCCACAUUCAAGCUUCAUGAGCCACAAAGAAGACGAGGA
Melanotaenia boesemani (Boeseman's rainbowfish) is the source of this 235-nucleotide long non-coding RNA. RefSeq lists it as uncharacterized. NCBI's taxonomy places the organism in Eukaryota, Metazoa, Chordata, Actinopteri, Atheriniformes, Melanotaeniidae. The record is from RefSeq and is a predicted model, not a curated record. The transcript is spliced from 3 exons.